CCUGAGCUAACAUCAGUGCCCAUCUCCCUCUACUUUAUAUGUGGGAUGCCUACCACAGCAUGGCGUGCCAAGUGGUGCCAUGUUCGCACCCGGGAUCCCAACCAGCAAACCCCAGGCCGCUGAAGUGGAACGUGCAAACUUAACUGCUGUACCACUGGGCCCCCCCACCCCUCCUUUAGUCUUAAUACCUUUUUGCCCCAGUUGUAGUGCCAGGCCAAGUAAAACUUAUGGAGCCUUACAUCUAUUUUCUCCCAUAUCUCCUUGUCCCCCUGCCCCAAACCAGCUCUCCUGGUGAACCCCUGGGGCAGCCUGGACUGUGGGCUCAUUGGCCACUCUUUCUUCAGAAAUAGUUCGAAGUAUUUUGUAGGAAUAAUCCGCAGUCUUUGGCGGUGGUUUGACCAGUACGAGAAAGGAGGCUCAUGGGUUAGAGUUUCCCCAGGGCUCCCAUGAGCUCCCUGCCCCGUCCUUUGCCAGGGAGAGCCUUUGCAGGCUUGCAGAGCAGUGCCCCUGGCCCACGCUCCGUGCACCUGCUUAUUGAUAACUGCGUGUCUGAAUGUGCCUUGUGUCAGAGCCCUUUGGUUUGAAUUUGCCGAGUACUGAGCGGCUGAGACGUGAGAAAAUUAUGAGCAGGAGAGAGACGUGGUACCCUAUGACAAGAGGCAGCUGUGGUGAGAGGGUAGGCACGAUGCCUGGGGUGAGCGCCAUCUGGGCAGGAGGCCUGGCUCCCAGCUGUGGGGGCUCCGGAAGGGCAGAGCCUGGGAGGAACGAUUUUGAAGCCACUACUAUGGAGAUUAAGGGGAUGAGAAUGUAAAUCUCAAGUAAAAAGGUAAUUGAAUGUAAUAGCAAACAGUGCUCGCUCUAUGUUAAUUUUAGCUCUUCCCCUGGAUACAAGGCGCUGUAUUAGUGUUUUAUUACCAUUUUGUUUGCACUAAUAAAAUAGUAAAAUUUAUUUCAAGGAAGUUGAAGGAUGGUUUUACAAUGCAAAUUUGAAGAAAUUGGACUUUUCAUUUAUGCCUCUGCUAUUUUAAACCCUGACGGGUGUAAAUUAGCUACAGGGACCGAGCAGACCCCACUGAUGGGGACUUGGGAGGCGGGAGCUCUGGCAGAGGUUCUAGACUGGCUCAGGGCAGAAAGCAGG
This 1138-nucleotide long non-coding RNA is filed under the name Equus caballus (horse). RNAcentral describes it as "lncRNA (ENSECAG00000055271.1)". Lineage: Eukaryota; Metazoa; Chordata; Mammalia; Perissodactyla; Equidae. The record is from RNAcentral.